GGUUGAAUAGUGUAGUUGGUUAUCACAUCGGAUUUUGAAGGAGUCUCACAGCUUGGCCAGAGCUCCUAGAAACAUUCCGGGGACCCGGGUUCGAAUCCCAGUUCGACCU
This is a transfer RNA of 109 nucleotides. It matches the Rfam family "tRNA". Rfam says of the family: Transfer RNA (tRNA) molecules are approximately 80 nucleotides in length. Their secondary structure includes four short double-helical elements and three loops (D, anti-codon, and T loops). The record is from Rfam.